ACAGCUUUGACAAAAGUCCACAGCCAGUGUGUUCCAAGUCCCCGCACAGGGCUGGCUGUGGCAGGGGACACUCUCCUGCUGGCUCUCUGUGUCCACACUUAGCUGGCUCCUGUCCUCAGGUGCACGACCACACCCUUGCACCCAACCUUGAUCCCCUGGUGGGGAAAGUCAGGACUUGUCAGCUGGGACAGGCCUCGCCACAGGAGCUCU
Molecule: long non-coding RNA, 210 nt
Filed under: Microtus ochrogaster (prairie vole)
Lineage: Eukaryota; Metazoa; Chordata; Mammalia; Rodentia; Cricetidae
Description: SOX2 overlapping transcript exon 1 (ENSMOCG00000010832.1)
Rfam family: SOX2 overlapping transcript exon 1
About the family: SOX2 overlapping transcript (SOX2OT) is a long non-coding RNA, containing at least 5 exons. The SOX2 gene, an important regulator of neurogenesis, lies within one of the introns of SOX2OT.
Source: RNAcentral